GUCAGUGUGGCCGAGUGGUUAAGGCGAUUGAGUAUGUUUCUCCUUAUCUAGAACAACUUAUCGAAUCAUCUACUAACAAUCAUUAUAGCUAGAAAUCAAUUCCGUUCGCGGGCAGAGGUUCGAAUCCUCUCGCUGACG
Molecule: non-coding RNA, 138 nt
Organism: Aspergillus hancockii
Lineage: Eukaryota; Fungi; Ascomycota; Eurotiomycetes; Eurotiales; Aspergillaceae
Source: the annotation of a GenBank genome assembly